Molecule: non-coding RNA, 45 nt
Filed under: Trichobilharzia regenti
Lineage: Eukaryota; Metazoa; Platyhelminthes; Trematoda; Strigeidida; Schistosomatidae
Source: RNAcentral
AUCCAGAUGUCGAGUCCCAAAUAGGACGAAAUGUACCUCCUGGAU